AUAGCUUGCUAUUUUGCUGACGAGUGGCGGACGGGUGAGUAAUGCUUGGGAAUAUGCCUUAUGGUGGGGGACAACAGUUGGAAACGACUGCUAAUACCGCAUAACAUCUCCGGAUCAAAGUGGGGGACCUUCGGGCCUCACGCCAUAAGAGUAGCCCAAGUGGGAUUAGCUAGUUGGUAAGGUAAUGGCUUACCAAGGCGACGAUCCCUAGUUGGUCUUAGAGGAUGACCAGCCACACUGGAACUGAGACACGGUCCAGACUCCUACGGGAGGCAGCAGUGGGGAAUAUUGCACAAUGGGCGCAAGCCUGAUGCAGCCAUGCCGCGUGUGUGAAGAAGGCUUUCGGGUUGUAAAGCACUUUCAGCGAGGAGGAAAGGUUGUACUUUAAUAGAGUGCAGCUGUGACGUUACUCGCAGAAGAAGCACCGGCUAACUCCGUGCCAGCAGCCGCGGUAAUACGGAGGGUGCGAGCGUUAAUCGGAAUUACUGGGCGUAAAGCGCGCGUAGGCGGUUAAUUAAGUCAGAUGUGAAAUCCCAGGGCUCAACCUUGGAACUGCAUUUGAAACUGGUUAACUAGAGUUUUGUAGAGGGUGGUAGAAUUUCAGGUGUAGCGGUGAAAUGCGUAGAGAUCUGAAGGAAUACCAGUGGCGAAGGCGGCCACCUGGACAAAGACUGACGCUGAGGCGCGAAGGCGUGGGGAGCAAACGGGAUUAGAUACCCCGGUAGUCCACGCAGUAAACGAUGUCUAUUAGAAUUUUGUGGCUAUAUGCCGUGGGAUUCAAAGCUAACGCAUUAAAUAGACCGCCUGGGGAGUACGGCCGCAAGGUUAAAACUCAAAUGAAUUGACGGGGGCCCGCACAAGCGGUGGAGCAUGUGGUUUAAUUCGA
Molecule: ribosomal RNA, 886 nt
Filed under: Psychromonas arctica
Lineage: Bacteria; Pseudomonadati; Pseudomonadota; Gammaproteobacteria; Alteromonadales; Psychromonadaceae
Description: bacterial SSU rRNA
Rfam family: Bacterial small subunit ribosomal RNA
Source: RNAcentral